Molecule: ribosomal RNA, 336 nt
Filed under: uncultured Deferribacteres bacterium
Lineage: Bacteria; Pseudomonadati; Deferribacterota; Deferribacteres
Description: bacterial SSU rRNA
Rfam family: Bacterial small subunit ribosomal RNA
Source: RNAcentral
GACGAACGCUGGCGGCGUGCUUAACACAUGCAAGUCAAGGGGAAAGGUUAAUUUCGGUUGACCGAGUAUACUGGCGAACGGGUGAGUAACGCGUAGGUAACCUGCCUGUGAGACUGGGAUAACACUGCUAACGCGGUGCUAAUACUGGAUGAUGCGUUUUAUUCGCAUGGAUAGGGCGUUAAAGCGGGCUUUCGGGCUCGUGUUCACAGAUGGACCUGCGUCUCAUUAGUUAGUUGGUGGGGUAAAGGCCUACCAAGGCGACGAUGGGUAGCCGACCUGAGAGGGUGACCGGCCACACUGGGACUGAGAUACGGCCCAGACUCCUACGGGAGGCAG